ACACAAAAAUGCACAUAUUGUGAGCUCGAUGAGUAGGGCGGGACACGUGGUAUCCUGUCUGAAUAUGGGGGGACCAUCCUCCAAGGCUAAAUACUCCUGACUGACCGAUAGUGAACCAGUACCGUGAGGGAAAGGCGAAAAGAACCCCGGCGAGGGGAGUGAAAAAGAACCUGAAACCGUGUACGUACAAGCAGUGGGAGCACGCUUAGGCGUGUGACUGCGUACCUUUUGUAUAAUGGGUCAGCGACUUAUAUUCUGUAGCAAGGUUAACCGAAUAGGGGAGCCGAAGGGAAACCGAGUCUUAACUGGGCGUUAAGUUGCAGGGUAUAGACCCGAAACCCGGUGAUCUAGCCAUGGGCAGGUUGAAGGUUGGGUAACACUAACUGGAGGACCGAACCGACUAAUGUUGAAAAAUUAGCGGAUGACUUGUGGCUGGGGGUGAAAGGCCAAUCAAACCGGGAGAUAGCUGGUUCUCCCCGAAAGCUAUUUAGGUAGCGCCUCGUGAAUUCAUCUCCGGGGGUAGAGCACUGUUUCGGCAAGGGGGUCAUCCCGACUUACCAACCCGAUGCAAACUGCGAAUACCGGAGAAUGUUAUCACGGGAGACACACGGCGGGUGCUAACGUCCGUCGUGAAGAGGGAAACAACCCAGACCGCCAGCUAAGGUCCCAAAGUCAUGGUUAAGUGGGAAACGAUGUGGGAAGGCCCAGACAGCCAGGAUGUUGGCUUAGAAGCAGCCAUCAUUUAAAGAAAGCGUAAUAGCUCACUGGUCGAGUCGGCCUGCGCGGAAGAUGUAACGGGGCUAAACCAUG
RNAcentral lists this ribosomal RNA (810 nucleotides) under Escherichia coli. Its description in RNAcentral is "partial 23S ribosomal RNA". It matches the Rfam family "Bacterial large subunit ribosomal RNA", at positions 377 to 1191 of the family's 2925-position model. Lineage: Bacteria; Pseudomonadati; Pseudomonadota; Gammaproteobacteria; Enterobacterales; Enterobacteriaceae. The record is from RNAcentral.